Molecule: ribosomal RNA, 744 nt
Filed under: uncultured bacterium
Lineage: Bacteria
Description: bacterial SSU rRNA
Rfam family: Bacterial small subunit ribosomal RNA
Source: RNAcentral
GUCGAACGAGAAAGUGGAGCAAUCCAUGAGUAAAGUGGCGCACGGGUGAGUAACACGUGACUAACCUACCCUUGAGUGGGGGAUAACUGAGGGAAACCUUAGCUAAUACCGCAUAAUACCUACGGGUCAAAGGAGCAAUUCGCUUAAGGAGGGGGUCGCGGCCGAUUAGUUAGUUGGCGGGGUAAUGGCCCACCAAGACGAUGAUCGGUAUCCGGCCUGAGAGGGCGCACGGACACACUGGAACUGAAACACGGUCCAGACUCCUACGGGAGGCAGCAGUGGGGAAUUUUGCGCAAUGGGGGAAACCCUGACGCAGCAACGCCGCGUGGAGGAUGAAGUCCUUCGGGACGUAAACUCCUUUCGAUCGGGACGAUUAUGACGGUACCGGAAGAAGAAGCCCCGGCUAACUUCGUGCCAGCAGCCGCGGUAAUACGAGGGGGGCGAGCGUUGUUCGGAAUUAUUGGGCGUAAAGGGUGCGUAGGCGGUUUGGUAAGUCUGAUGUGAAAUCUAUGGGCUCAACUCAUAGCCUGCAUCGGAAACUGCCGGGCUUGAGUGUGGGAGAGGUGAGUGGAAUUCCUGGUGUAGCGGUGAAAUGCGUAGAUAUCAGGAGGAACACCUGUGGCGAAAGCGGCUCACUGGACCACAACUGACGCUGAUGCACGAAAGCUAGGGGAGCAAACAGGAUUAGAUACCCUGGUAGUCCUAGCCCUAAACGAUGACUGCUUGGGUGUGACGGGUACCCAA